This 528-nucleotide long non-coding RNA is filed under the name Coccomyxa subellipsoidea. Its description in RNAcentral is "long non-coding RNA (CSUB_LNC000684)". Lineage: Eukaryota; Viridiplantae; Chlorophyta; Trebouxiophyceae; Coccomyxaceae. The record is from RNAcentral.
UGUUCCUGGAGGAGUGGGCUUGUGCUGAAGGGAUACGAGAUGCUGAGCCUCUUGGGCGGUUUGGGCGUGGGUGCGGACAAAGGCGAGCCUUCCACUAGCUGUUUCUCCCUGUUUAGCCUAUCAAUCCACAGCUUCUUCGUCUGUUGCCACAUGCCACAAGCACCUUCAGGGGGUUUUAACAGGAUUGCCUGCUGUAAAGGUGAAAUUGCCAAAGAUUUAAUUUCGAUACCCAAUAUGAAUCAGGAUCGCGCACUUGUGACGUGUAAAUCCCGACGAUGUCCUCAUGAGUGAACGAGCGAUCUGCGAGACCUCGGCAGGCCAAAGCUUGCCAAUCAAGACGCAGACUUGAUAUACUUGCAGGGUUUUUCUGCAACCAAACAUUCAUGAGUUCUGACGUUCUCUACAGAGCUGUCACAACGCAAAGCUUCGGCAUGUCAAAUCGUCGGAGUGAUCUGCUCCUGGGAGUUGGACCAAAUCCACGUAGAAUCGCUGGCAAAUUUGCAAUGUAACCUUGCUUCUCUUUGCUCA